Non-coding RNA from Bactrocera oleae (olive fruit fly), 223 nucleotides. Lineage: Eukaryota; Metazoa; Arthropoda; Insecta; Diptera; Tephritidae. The record is from RefSeq and is a predicted model, not a curated record.
UUGAAAAAAAAAUUUUUUCUUUAUAUUAUUACUUAUUUUACUUAAAGGUGGUAUAAAAAUGCCGGAGUCAGCAAAAAGCAAACUAAUAAACUAAACUGAAAAGAGGACGAUCCACUAUAGAGCAGCUAUACAAACUUUGGAAGGAAUAUGCCACGCAAGUGCAUCCGAAACUGCAAAGGCUCGUUACACCUUUACAAAUUUCUAGGAGUGCGGGAAAUGCCCA